GACGAACGCUGGCGGCGUGCCUAAUACAUGCAAGUAGAACGCUGAAGGACGGGCUUGCUGCUCUGGACGAGUUGCGAACGGGUGAGUAACGCGUAGGUAACCUGCCUGGUAGUGGGGGAUAACUUUUGGAAACGAUAGCUAAUACCGCAUAAGAGUAGAUGUCGCAUGACAUUUGCUUAAAAGUUGCAAUUGCUUCACUACCAGAUGGACCUGCGCUGUAUUAGCUAGUUGGUGAGGUAACGGCUCACCAAGGCAACGAUACAUAGCCGACCUGAGAGGGGGAUCGGCCACACUGGGACUGAGACACGGCCCAGACUCCUACGGGAGGCAGCAGUAGGGAAUCUUCGGCAAUGGACGGAAGUCUGACCGAGCAACGCCGCGUGAGUGAAGAAGGUUUUCGGAUCGUAAAGCUCUGUUGUAAGAGAAGAACGAGUGUGAGAGUGGAAAGUUCACACUGUGACGGUAUCUUACCAGAAAGGGACGGCUAACUACGUG
This 495-nucleotide ribosomal RNA is filed under the name uncultured bacterium. RNAcentral describes it as "partial 16S ribosomal RNA". It matches the Rfam family "Bacterial small subunit ribosomal RNA", at positions 28 to 507 of the family's 1533-position model. The record is from RNAcentral.